Helianthus annuus (common sunflower) is the source of this 121-nucleotide RNA transcript. RefSeq lists it as uncharacterized. Lineage: Eukaryota; Viridiplantae; Streptophyta; Magnoliopsida; Asterales; Asteraceae. The record is from RefSeq and is a predicted model, not a curated record. The transcript is spliced from 3 exons.
GAUGGGAAAGAUUCAGGAGAUGGCAAACAAAACACCGCCGACAUGACACAGUUUGUUCAAACUCUUCUCCAGCAAAUGCAAAACAGAUUCCAAACAAUGUCAGACUCCAUUGUUUCAAAGA